Syzygium oleosum is the source of this 1327-nucleotide RNA transcript. RefSeq lists it as uncharacterized. The transcript has 4 exons. The record is from RefSeq and is a predicted model, not a curated record. Lineage: Eukaryota; Viridiplantae; Streptophyta; Magnoliopsida; Myrtales; Myrtaceae.
GAGAGAAAGGAGACGCCCCAGAAACAGACGGAAUCCGUUCGUUCGUUCGUUCGUUCGUUCGCACGGCGAGAAGAGAGCGAGCCGCCGCCCCCCCUCACGCCCGCCGCGCCGGAAUCCUCACCGGAGCCUCCCCGAUCCGGCCGCCGCCGAGCCGAACCCGAUCCGCCGCCCGUCCAUGGAGGGAGUCGGGGCGCGACUCGGCCGGUCCUCCACCCGGUACGGCCCCGCCACGGUGUUCACCGGCCCGGUGAGGAGGUGGAAGAAGAAGUGGGUCCACGUCCCCCCGUCCAGCAGCGCCGCCGUCUCGAACGGCGUCGGUGGCGGCCUGAACGGCUCGGCCGCGGCGGCGGCGGCGAACGGCGGCAACGCGUCGCAUCUGGUUCUGUACAAGUGGACUCCGAUUACGCAGAGCGGCAAUACCAACGGCGGCGGCGGCGGCGGUGGCGGCGGCAACGGUAACACUGGUAGCAACGGUGUUGAUAAGAGCUCCGUGAACAGCGACGCUGCCGCGGAGGAGCCGCCGCGGCGUAAAUUCAAGUACAUUCCGAUUGCUUUACUGGAAGAAGAGAAAGAUGAGGAUGUAGAAAUUAAUGCUGCAGAAGAUGUUGAUGAUGAAGGAAAGCCAAGUGAAAACGAUCUUAGUUCAGUUGAACCAAACAACAAGAGUGGUGGUUCUGAUGAAAAACCAGACAUCAAUAAUAUACCAAUGGAAGUGAGUGAGGACUGAGUUCGUCAAUUUGUGCCAAGAGAAAAAGAAAGAGUUGCAUCAGUCAGUUUAGGCUUCCUUAUCAGGUUCUCGGAUACUAUGCAGUGACUCAUAAACUUGUAAAAAUAGGAUGAUAACAAAGGGGUACGGCAAGAUCUCAAUGAGAGCACUCUAGAUUUGAGUUUGAGCUUCAAGGCAGGUGAAGGGAACCAUGAUGUGGAUUGAAAGUAAGACCAAACAGUGGAUUGGCAGUUCAGGAAGAUGUGAUGCAACAUAUCAUCUGCAGUUUUCAUCGACGCAAAGAGAGAAAGCAGAGGUUUCUUUCCUUUGCGGACCCAAGCACGAGUCUACAGGACUUCCAUUUUUACAUGAGCUGUCAGUCUUCAACUCUGGCCUUUAACCCAACUUAUCCUGAGUUCUUGAUCAUUCUGAUCAGUCCGGGCGGACGCUGUGUUUAAUUUAGUUGCUAAACAUUGAUUUGCAUCUAUUCUUUGAGUCUGGAACUUGCUGGAGAUGCUAACUUAAAUAUUAGUGGAACGAGAUGCAUAGUGAAACUCUUAACACAGUGAUACCUUUGCACCGUGUUUCUUUUCAAAAGAAAUUCAAGGAUUUCAUCUCAAA